CAGCGAGCAUGUGGUUUAAUUCGAAGCAACGCGAAGAACCUUACAGAUCUUGACAUCCAAUUGACCAUCUUUUAAUCGAGAUUUUGCCUUCGGGUACAAUUGAGACAGGUGGUGCAUGGUUGUCGUCAGCUCGUGUCGUGAGAUGUUGGGUUAAGUCCCGCAACGAGCGCAACCCUUGUGUUUAGUUGCAAACAGGUCAAGCUGUGCACGUCUAGACAGACUGCCGUGGACAACACGGAGGAAGGUGGGGAUGACGUCAAAUCAUCAUGCCCCUUAUGAUCUGGGCUACACACGUGCUACAAUGGCCGGUACAACGGGCAGCGAAGGAGCGAUCCGGAGCGAAUCCUAAAAAGCCGGUCCCAGUUCGGAUUGCAGGCUGAAACUCGCCUACAUGAAGUUGGAGUUGCUAGUAAUCGCGAAUCAGAAUGUCGCGGUGAAUGCGUUCCCGGGUCUU
This 454-nucleotide ribosomal RNA is filed under the name uncultured Fusibacter sp. RNAcentral's name for it is "bacterial SSU rRNA". It matches the Rfam family "Bacterial small subunit ribosomal RNA", at positions 930 to 1382 of the family's 1533-position model. The record is from RNAcentral. Lineage: Bacteria; Bacillati; Bacillota; Clostridia; Eubacteriales; Fusibacteraceae.